RNAcentral lists this unclassified non-coding RNA (434 nucleotides) under soil metagenome. Its description in RNAcentral is "partial contains 5.8S ribosomal RNA, internal transcribed spacer 2, and large subunit ribosomal RNA". The stretch from base 1 to 120 matches the Rfam family "5.8S ribosomal RNA", at positions 35 to 154 of the family's 154-position model. The record is from RNAcentral.
GAUGAAGAACGCAGCGAAAUGCGAUAAGUAGUGUGAAUUGCAGAAUUCAGUGAAUCAUCGAAUCUUUGAACGCACAUUGCGCUUCCUGGUAUUCCGGGGAGCAUGCCCGUUUCAGAAUCAUUAAAAAUCUCAUAAUACUUGCUUAUGCACUAUUCUUGUAAUAGUCUGUAUGUUAAGGGUUGUGGAUUUUGGAUGAUUUGUCAUUUGACAAUCAUUUAAAAUUGAUUGUAUGUGCUCCAAUUGCGUAUGUCUUUGGGUCUCUAAAGUGCAACAGAUUAUAUCUAUUCUCUUUGGUACUUAAGGAUGUACUUUGGUGUAUGUAACCAAAAGUUAUUAUACAGAUUCUAUGUGCCUAUGUGCAUAGCUUCUGAUAACUUGGUCUGAAAUCGGGCAAGAAAACCCGCUGAACUUAAGCAUAUCAAUAAGCGGGAGGA